CGGCCGCGGUACCCUGACCGUGCGAAGGUAGCAUAAUCACUUGUUCUUUAAAUAAGGACUAGUAUCAACGGCAUCACGAGGGUUUUACUGUCUCCCCUCUCUAAUCAGUGAAACUGACUUCCCCGUGAAGAGGCGGGGAUAUAACUACAAGACGAGAAGACCCCAUGGAGCUUUAAACCCACUAACAACCUCUAACUAAACACACCCACGUAAAUGAAAAGUACUGUAUAGUGGUUUUAGGUUGGGGUGACCACGGAGUAAAACUAAACCUCCAUGACGAACGGAAAUCCAUCCUAAUCCACGAGCCACCGCUCUAAGAAUCAAAAACUUGACAUAAAAUGAUCCGGUAACCGAUCAACGAACCAAGUUACCCUGGGGAUAACAGCGCAAUCCAUUUCAAGAGCCCCUAUCGACAAAUGGGUUUACGACCUCGAUGUUGGAUCAGGGUAUCCCAGUGGUGCAGCCGCUACUAAAGGUUUGUUUGUUCAACAAUUAAAACCCUACGUGAUCU
RNAcentral lists this ribosomal RNA (511 nucleotides) under Limnonectes barioensis (Bario fanged frog). Its description in RNAcentral is "partial large subunit ribosomal RNA". It matches the Rfam family "Bacterial large subunit ribosomal RNA", at positions 1928 to 2606 of the family's 2925-position model. Lineage: Eukaryota; Metazoa; Chordata; Amphibia; Anura; Dicroglossidae. The record is from RNAcentral.